AUUCGUUGCACUAUCGUUAACUGAAUACAUAGGUUAACGAGGCGAACCGGGGGAACUGAAACAUCUAAGUACCCCGAGGAAAAGAAAUCAACCGAGAUUCCCCCAGUAGCGGCGAGCGAACGGGGAGCAGCCCAGAGUCUGAAUCAGCUUGUGUGUUAGUGGAACGGUCUGGAAAGUCCGACGGUACAGGGUGAUAGUCCCGUACACCAAAAUGCACAGGCUGUGAACUCGAAGAGUAGGGCGGGACACGUGGUAUCCUGUCUGAAUAUGGGGGGACCAUCCUCCAAGGCUAAAUACUCCUGACUGACCGAUAGUGAACCAGUACCGUGAGGGAAAGGCGAAAAGAACCCCGGCGAGGGGAGUGAAAAAGAACCUGAAACCGUGUACGUACAAGCAGUGGGAGCACCUUCGGGUGUGACUGCGUACCUUUUGUAUAAUGGGUCAGCGACUUAUAUUCUGUAGCAAGGUUAACCGUAUAGGGGAGCCGCAGGGAAACCGAGUCUUAACUGGGCGUUAAGUUGCAGGGUAUAGACCCGAAACCCGGUGAUCUAGCCAUGGGCAGGUUGAAGGUUGGGUAACACUAACUGGAGGACCGAACCGACUAAUGUUGAAAAAUUAGCGGAUGACUUGUGGCUGGGGGUGAAAGGCCAAUCAAACCGGGAGAUAGCUGGUUCUCCCCGAAAGCUAUUUAGGUAGCGCCUCGUGAACUCAUCUUCGGGGGUAGAGCACUGUUUCGGCUAGGGGGUCAUCCCGACUUACCAACCCGAUGCAAACUACGAAUACCGAAGAAUGUUAUCACGGGAGACACACGGCGGGUGCUAACGUCCGUCGUGAAGAGGGAAACAACCCAGACCGCCAGCUAAGGUCCCAAAGUCAUGGUUAAGUGGGAAACGAUGUGGGAAGGCACAGACAGCCAGGAUGUUGGCUUAGAAGCAGCCAUCAUUUAAAGAAAGCGUAAUAGCUCACUGGUCGAGUCGGCCUGCGCGGAAGAUGUAACGGGGCUAAACCAUGCACCGAAGCUGCGGCAGCGACACUAUGUGUUGUUGGGUAGGGGAGCGUUCUGUAAGCCUGCGAAGGUGUGCUGUGAGGCAUGCUGGAGGUAUCAGAAGUGCGAAUGCUGACAUAAGUAACGAUAAAGCGGGUGAAAAGCCCGCUCGCCGGAAGACCAAGGGUUCCUGUCCAACGUUAAUCGGGGCAGGGUGAGUCGACCCCUAAGGCGAGGCCGAAAGGCGUAGUCGAUGGGAAACAGGUUAAUAUUCCUGUACUUGGUGUUACUGCGAAGGGGGGACGGAGAAGGCUAUGUUAGCCGGGCGACGGUUGUCCCGGUUUAAGCAUGUAGGCUGGUUAUCCAGGCAAAUCCGGAUAAUCAAGGCUGAGGUGUGAUGACGAGGCACUACGGUGCUGAAGUAACAAAUGCCCUGCUUCCAGGAAAAGCCUCUAAGCAUCAGGUAACAUCAAAUCGUACCCCAAACCGACACAGGUGGUCAGGUAGAGAAUACCAAGGCGCUUGAGAGAACUCGGGUGAAGGAACUAGGCAAAAUGGUGCCGUAACUUCGGGAGAAGGCACGCUGGUGUGUAGGUGAAGUCCCUGCGGAUGGAGCUGAGACCAGUCGAAGAUACCAGCUGGCUGCAACUGUUUAUUAAAAACACAGCACUGUGCAAACACGAAAGUGGACGUAUACGGUGUGACGCCUGCCCGGUGCCGGAAGGUUAAUUGAUGGGGUUAUCCGUAAGGAGAAGCUCUUGAUCGAAGCCCCGGUAAACGGCGGCCGUAACUAUAACGGUCCUAAGGUAGCGAAAUUCCUUGUCGGGUAAGUUCCGACCUGCACGAAUGGCGUAAUGAUGGCCAGGCUGUCUCCACCCGAGACUCAGUGAAAUUGAACUCGCUGUGAAGAUGCAGUGUACCCGCGGCAAGACGGAAAGACCCCGUGAACCUUUACUAUAGCUUGACACUGAACAUUGAGCCUUGAUGUGUAGGAUAGGUGGGAGGCUUUGAAGCGUGGACGCCAGUCUGCGUGGAGCCAACCUUGAAAUACCACCCUUUAAUGUUUGAUGUUCUAACGUUGGCCCCUUACCGGGGUUGCGGACAGUGUCUGGUGGGUAGUUUGACUGGGGCGGUCUCCUCCCAAAGCGUAACGGAGGAGCACGAAGGUUAGCUAAUCCUGGUCGGACAUCAGGAGGUUAGUGCAAUGGCAUAAGCUAGCUUGACUGCGAGCGUGACGGCGCGAGCAGGUGCGAAAGCAGGUCAUAGUGAUCCGGUGGUUCUGAAUGGAAGGGCCAUCGCUCAACGGAUAAAAGGUACUCCGGGGAUAACAGGCUGAUACCGCCCAAGAGUUCAUAUCGACGGCGGUGUUUGGCACCUCGAUGUCGGCUCAUCACAUCCUGGGGCUGAAGUAGGUCCCAAGGGUAUGGCUGUUCGCCAUUUAAAGUGGUACGCGAGCUGGGUUUAGAACGUCGUGAGACAGUUCGGUCCCUAUCUGCCGUGGGCGCUGGAGAAUUGAGGGGGGCUGCUCCUAGUACGAGAGGACCGGAGUGGACGCAUCACUGGUGUUCGGGUUGUCAUGCCAAUGGCACUGCCCGGUAGCUAAAUGCGGAAGAGAUAAGUGCUGAAAGCAUCUAAGCACGAAACUUGCCCCGAGAUGAGUUCUCCCUGAGACUUUAAGUCUCCUGAAGGAACGUUGAAGACGACGACGUUGAUAGGCCGGGUGUGUAAGCGCAGCGAUGCGUUGAGCUAACCGGUACUAAUGAACCGUGAGGCUUAACCUU
Molecule: ribosomal RNA, 2766 nt
Filed under: Klebsiella pneumoniae
Lineage: Bacteria; Pseudomonadati; Pseudomonadota; Gammaproteobacteria; Enterobacterales; Enterobacteriaceae
Description: partial 23S ribosomal RNA
Rfam family: Bacterial large subunit ribosomal RNA
Source: RNAcentral